AACACGUAGGGGGCAAGCGUUGUCCGGAAUCAUUGGGCGUAAAGAGCUCGUAGGCGGCUCAGUAAGUCGGGUGUGAAACCUCCAGGCUCAACCUGGAGACGCCACCCGAUACUGCUGUGGCUAGAGUCCAGUAGGGGAGUGUGGAAUUCCCGGUGUAGCGGUGAAAUGCGCAGAUAUCGGGAGGAACACCAGCGGCGAAGGCGGCACUCUGGGCUGGUACUGACGCUGAGGAGCGAAAGCGUGGGUAGCAAACAGGA
This 257-nucleotide ribosomal RNA is filed under the name uncultured prokaryote. RNAcentral's name for it is "partial 16S ribosomal RNA". It matches the Rfam family "Bacterial small subunit ribosomal RNA", at positions 522 to 777 of the family's 1533-position model. The record is from RNAcentral.